RNAcentral lists this ribosomal RNA (717 nucleotides) under uncultured Candidatus Pelagibacter sp. RNAcentral describes it as "bacterial SSU rRNA". It matches the Rfam family "Bacterial small subunit ribosomal RNA", at positions 56 to 819 of the family's 1533-position model. The record is from RNAcentral. Lineage: Bacteria; Pseudomonadati; Pseudomonadota; Alphaproteobacteria; Candidatus Pelagibacterales; Candidatus Pelagibacteraceae.
UGCAGUCGAACGGAGUAGCAAUACUUAGUGGCAGACGGGUGAGUAACAUGUGGGUAUCUUCCCUUUGGUGAGGAAUAACAUGAGGAAACUUAUGCUAAUACCUCAUAAGUCUUUACGGAGAAAGCUUUAUGCGCCAUUGGAUGAGCCCGCACUUGAUUAGUUUGUUGGUGGGGUAAUGGCCUACCAAGACAAUGAUCAAUAGCUGAUUUGAGAGGAUGAUCAGCCACAUUGGGACUGAGACACGGCCCAAACUUCUACGGAAGGCAGCAGUAGGGAAUCUUGCACAAUGGAGGAAACUCUGAUGCAGCGAUGCCGCGUGAGUGAAGAAGGCCCUUGGGUUGUAAAGCUCUUUCGUCGGGGAAGAAAAUGACUGUACCCGAAUAAGAAGGUCCGGCUAACUUCGUGCCAGCAGCCGCGGUAAUACGAAGGGACCUAGCGUAGUUCGGAAUUACUGGGCUUAAAGAGUUCGUAGGUGGUUAAAAAAGUUGGUGGUGAAAUCCCAGAGCUUAACUCUGGAACUGCCAUCAAAACUUUUUAGCUAGAGUAUGGUAGAGGAAAGUAGAAUUUCUAGUGUAGAGGUGAAAUUCGUAGAUAUUAGAAAGAAUACCAAUUGCGAAGGCAGCUUUCUGGAUCAUUACUGACACUGAGGAACGAAAGCAUGGGUAGCGAAGAGGAUUAGAUACCCUCGUAGUCCAUGCCGUAAACGAUGUGUGUUUA